RNAcentral lists this ribosomal RNA (164 nucleotides) under Lathyrus multijugus. RNAcentral's name for it is "Lathyrus pannonicus subsp. multijugus 5.8S ribosomal RNA". It matches the Rfam family "5.8S ribosomal RNA". Rfam says of the family: 5.8S ribosomal RNA (5.8S rRNA) is a component of the large subunit of the eukaryotic ribosome. The record is from RNAcentral. Lineage: Eukaryota; Viridiplantae; Streptophyta; Magnoliopsida; Fabales; Fabaceae.
AGAAUGACUCUCGGCAACGGAUAUCUAGGCUCUUGCAUCGAUGAAGAACGUAGCGAAAUGCGAUACUUGGUGUGAAUUGCAGAAUCCCGUGAACCAUCGAGUUUUUGAACGCAAGUUGCGCCUGAUGCCAUUAGGUUGAAGGCACGUCUGCCUGGGUGUCACAU